UUUGUGGAGAGUUUGAUCCUGGCUCAGGAUGAACGCUGGCGGCGUGCUUAACACAUGCAAGUCGAACGGAAAGGCCCAAGCUUGCUUGGGUACUCGAGUGGCGAACGGG
RNAcentral lists this ribosomal RNA (109 nucleotides) under Corynebacterium riegelii. RNAcentral's name for it is "partial 16S ribosomal RNA". It matches the Rfam family "Bacterial small subunit ribosomal RNA", at positions 1 to 106 of the family's 1533-position model. The record is from RNAcentral. Lineage: Bacteria; Bacillati; Actinomycetota; Actinomycetes; Mycobacteriales; Corynebacteriaceae.